This 253-nucleotide ribosomal RNA is filed under the name uncultured bacterium. RNAcentral describes it as "partial 16S ribosomal RNA". It matches the Rfam family "Bacterial small subunit ribosomal RNA", at positions 524 to 776 of the family's 1533-position model. The record is from RNAcentral.
UACAGAGGUCUCGAGCGUUGUUCGGAUUCAUUGGGCGUAAAGGGUGCGUAGGUGGCUAGGUAAGUCGGAUGUGAAAUCCCGGGGCUCAACCCCGGAACUGCAUUCGAUACUGCCUGGCUAGAGUACUGGAGAGGAGAUUGGAAUUUACGGUGUAGCAGUGAAAUGCGUAGAUAUCGUAAGGAAGACCAGUGGCGAAGGCGGGUCUCUGGACAGUUCCUGACGCUGAGGCACGAAGGUCAGGGGAGCAAACGGG